GACGAACGCUGGCGGCGUGCUUAACACAUGCAAGUCGAACGGAAAGGCCCUGCUUUUGUGGGGUGCUCGAGUGGCGAACGGGUGAGUAACACGUGAGUAACCUGCCCUUGACUUUGGGAUAACUUCAGGAAACUGGGGCUAAUACCGGAUAGGAGCUCCUGCUGCAUGGUGGGGGUUGGAAAGUUUCGGCGGUUGGGGAUGGACUCGCGGCUUAUCAGCUUGUUGGUGGGGUAGUGGCUUACCAAGGCUUUGACGGGUAGCCGGCCUGAGAGGGUGACCGGGCACAUUGGGACUGAGAUACGGCCCAGACUCAUACGGGAGGCAGCAGUGGGGAAUAUUGCACAAUGGGCGGAAGCCUGAUGCAGCAACGCCGCGUGCGGGAUGACGGCCUUCGGGUUGUAAACCGCUUUCGCCUGUGACGAAGCGUGAGUGAGGGUAAUGGGGAAAGAAGCACCGGCUACCUACGG
RNAcentral lists this ribosomal RNA (467 nucleotides) under uncultured bacterium. RNAcentral describes it as "partial 16S ribosomal RNA". It matches the Rfam family "Bacterial small subunit ribosomal RNA", at positions 28 to 506 of the family's 1533-position model. The record is from RNAcentral.